UACGUAGGCAGCAAGCGUUGUUCGGAGUUACUGGGCGUAAAGGGUGUGUAGGCGGUUGUUUAAGUUUGGUGUGAAAUCUCCCGGCUCAACUGGGAGGGUGCGCCGAAUACUGAAUGACUAGAGUGCGGGAGAGGAAAGUGGAAUUCCUGGUGUAGCGGUGAAAUGCGUAAAUAUCAGGAGGAACACCGGUGGUGUAGACGGCUUUCUGGACCGUAACUGACGCUGAGACACGAAAGCGUGGGUAGCAAACAGG
This 253-nucleotide ribosomal RNA is filed under the name uncultured bacterium. Its description in RNAcentral is "partial 16S ribosomal RNA". It matches the Rfam family "Bacterial small subunit ribosomal RNA", at positions 524 to 776 of the family's 1533-position model. The record is from RNAcentral.